AGCAGCCGCGGUAAUUCCAGCUCCAAUAGCGUAUAUUAAAGUUGUUGCAGUUAAAAAGCUCGUAGUUGAAUUUCGGGAUCAAGGAAUCGGUCAUGCCUUGGUAUGUACUGGUUUUAUUGGUUCUCACCUUCUAAAGAACCAUAAUGUCAUUCAUUUGAUGUUAUGGGGAAUUAGGACUGUUACCUUGAAAAAAUUAGAGUGUUUAAAGCAGGCUUACGCUUGAAUACAUUAGCAUGGAAUAAUGAAAUAGGACAUCAGAUUCUAUUUUGUUGGUUUCUAGGAUCGAUGUAAUGGUUAAUAGGGAUAGUUGGGGGCAUUAGUAUUCAAUUGUCAGAGGUGAAAUUCUUGGAUUUAUUGAAGACUAACUACUGCGAAAGCAUUUGCCAAGGAUGUUUUCAUUAAUCAAGAACGAAAGUUAGGGGAUCGAAGACGAUCAGAUACCGUCGUAGUCUUAACCAUAAACUAUGCCGACUAGGGAUCGGAUGAUGU
RNAcentral lists this ribosomal RNA (489 nucleotides) under uncultured Glomeromycotina. RNAcentral's name for it is "SSU rRNA". It matches the Rfam family "Eukaryotic small subunit ribosomal RNA", at positions 569 to 1063 of the family's 1831-position model. Lineage: Eukaryota; Fungi; Glomeromycota. The record is from RNAcentral.